RNAcentral lists this ribosomal RNA (253 nucleotides) under uncultured bacterium. RNAcentral describes it as "partial 16S ribosomal RNA". It matches the Rfam family "Bacterial small subunit ribosomal RNA", at positions 524 to 776 of the family's 1533-position model. The record is from RNAcentral.
UACGUAGGGUGCGAGCGUUGUCCGGAAUUAUUGGGCGUAAAGGGCUCGUAGGCGGUUUGUCGCGUCGGGAGUGAAAACCUACAGCUUAACUGUGGGCUUGCUUUCGAUACGGGCAGACUAGAGGUAUGCAGGGGAGAACGGAAUUCCUGGUGUAGCGGUGAAAUGCGCAGAUAUCAGGAGGAACACCGGUGGCGAAGGCGGUUCUCUGGGCAUGAUCUGACGCUGAGGAGCGAAAGCCAGGGGAGCAAACGGG